This is a long non-coding RNA of Fukomys damarensis (Damara mole-rat), 620 nucleotides long. RefSeq lists it as uncharacterized. NCBI's taxonomy places the organism in Eukaryota, Metazoa, Chordata, Mammalia, Rodentia, Bathyergidae. The record is from RefSeq and is a predicted model, not a curated record. The transcript is spliced from 3 exons.
AGAGCAGGCGUGGGGGAUGGGCACUGGGCGGAAAGCGCGGCGGGACCCAGGCGCAUGCGCACUCGUCUCGCUCGCCCCUCCGGGCAUCCUAGCAACCGGGUUCCAAACCAGCGUCUUUUUUUUCCCAACCUGGAGUUCUCGUCCAGCCAACCAGUCUCGGCCCUUCCCUGUCUGUGAUUCUUCCUAGUCACUUCCGCUCCCUUCCACCGGUUCUGAGCUCACUGGGCGUGCUUGUCGCCCAGCAACCUGCACCGGCUCCUGAAAUGGGCCCUCGUGGUUUUGGCCAGGAAACCAUCCUCUGGCGCCUCUGGCACCCUCUGUUCGGGUUGAGGUGGCUGCAGAGCCUGGGGCUGCUCCUGUGGCCUCACGGGGCCCACGGAGUGGCUUUCUACCUACCUCCCGGGAUUGGCCCCGGUCAACUUCAGUAAGGCGGGCCAAGAGACCGCAUCCUGUCAGUGCCCUUCGGUCUCCUGGGUCGUCCUCCAGCUGCAAACACCAAGAUAAUGCUGUUAACUUCCAGAGGCUUGUGAGAAAAUGAGACAACGCAGAAAGAUGACUUAAAUAAAAUGACAACUUUCCACAUAUUUAGGCUGACCUCGAACUCACUGCGAUCCGCCUGC